RNAcentral lists this ribosomal RNA (253 nucleotides) under uncultured bacterium. Its description in RNAcentral is "partial 16S ribosomal RNA". It matches the Rfam family "Bacterial small subunit ribosomal RNA", at positions 524 to 776 of the family's 1533-position model. The record is from RNAcentral.
UACGUAGGAUGCGAGCGUUGUCCGGAAUUAUUGGGCGUAAAGAGAACGUAGGUGGUUUCCUAAGUUCGGUCUUAAAGACCGGGGCUCAACCCCGGGAAUGGAUUGAAAACUGGGAGACUCGAGGACGUCAGAGGAAGGUGGAAUUCCCAGUGUAGCGGUGAAAUGCGUAGAUAUUGGGAGGAACACCAGUGGCGAAAGCGACCUUCUGGGACGUUCCUGACACUGAGGUUCGAAAGCUCGGGGAGCAAACAGG